UUGACAGCCUUGGAAACUGAAGGGCUCUGAUUAUCCACAGAACAGGUACAAUAUGGCCAGUGGCAGUAGAAAUCAUUUCUACCUGCCAGUUCACCGCAGACAGGUUUCUUAGGAACCUCAUGGGAUAUAAAGGUUUUAAAGCUCUUUCCUGUUGAGUCUUUGGUAAGA
Molecule: unclassified non-coding RNA, 168 nt
Organism: Panthera pardus (leopard)
Lineage: Eukaryota; Metazoa; Chordata; Mammalia; Carnivora; Felidae
Source: Ensembl